This 1153-nucleotide long non-coding RNA is filed under the name Bos indicus x Bos taurus (hybrid cattle). RNAcentral describes it as "lncRNA (ENSBIXG00000013873.1)". Lineage: Eukaryota; Metazoa; Chordata; Mammalia; Artiodactyla; Bovidae. The record is from RNAcentral.
GAGGCGAGCGGGCGGGGACGAGCGGCUCCGUCGGUGGCCGCGUGCGCGGAGCGGGUGCAGUUUCUCCCCGCGGGGACGAGCCCUGUCGGUUGGAAGCCCUUAGCCCAGCGGAGGGGCCGCUGUGCCGCCGGCGGAGUCCCAGGUCCUCAGCAUCUCCGGCCCGCGGGGGAUCGGAACCGUCUCCGGGGCUCAGAGACCGCCCCGCUCUCUCCUCGCGGCCUCCCGGCUUCUCGGGGCGCACCCAGCUCCCGGGUUCCAGGGGCGGCCAGGGGCCCGGACUUCCUGCGGGGACGGGACCCCCUGUGGGUGCGCGGAGCACAGAACACUGUCCGCCUGGGCUGGUCAUCAGCCGUCAGAGUCAGACUCUCAGGGCUGGACUCCAGCUCCAGGGCUGGGGCUGGAAAGGCGGCUUCUGUCCCUCUGGGAGCCUCAGCAGGCCCGAAGAUUCUUUUAUUUGUCAGAAGCAGCACUCACCUGUGCCUCUCCCUGAUCAGGCCCAAACAAAUCAGCUGCCCUCACCUGAAAGGGUGUUAGUCUCUCAAUCAUGUCCCUGUGACCCCAUGGACUGUAGCACACCAGGCUCCUUUGUCCAUGGGAUUUUCCAGGUAAGAAUACUGGAGUGGGUUGUCAUUUCCUUCUCCAGGGGAUCUUCUCGACUCAGAGAUGGAACCCAGGUCUCCUACAUUACAGGUGUAUUCUUUACCAUCUGAGCCACCAGGGACAUGCAUAAGAAACUGUUACCUCUCAAAACUGGGGUCAGAAGGUUGGGUGUGUGGUUCAGGCUCUACAAGGCAUUUCACAUUCUCCUAGUAUCUCCUCUUGUCUCCCUAUGAAGCUCUUACAUCUCAGGACACCUCUAACCAAUACCCUCUUUUGAUGGGAGCUAGUGCUCAGCGGUUAAUAUUUUCAGCCCAGAGAGACACAGCCUGUGCUUUAGACCAUGGCAAACCCUCCCAGCUAGCCCCAGUCCAUCCAAAUCUCUCCUGUUCCUCAGAUCCCAUGGCCAAGACAGUCCCUGAGUCUGUUCAGUGGACAAGCUCCCACAGUGUCCAGUGCUGAGGCUCCUCCCACCCCCGUGCCCCCUCGGCCCUGCACAAUGAGCCCGCACUCCUGGGAAUACAGGGUCCCCUGUGCGCUUCUUCCGGGGCUGCUG